RNAcentral lists this ribosomal RNA (253 nucleotides) under uncultured bacterium. Its description in RNAcentral is "partial 16S ribosomal RNA". It matches the Rfam family "Bacterial small subunit ribosomal RNA", at positions 524 to 776 of the family's 1533-position model. The record is from RNAcentral.
UACGUAGGGUGCGAGCGUUGUCCGGAAUUAUUGGGCGUAAAGAGCUCGUAGGCGGUUUGUCGCGUCUGCUGUGAAAUCCCGAGGCUCAACCUCGGGCCUGCAGUGGGUACGGGCAGACUUGAGUGGGGUAGGGGAGACUGGAAUUCCUGGUGUAGCGGUGGAAUGCGCAGAUAUCAGGAGGAACACCGAUGGCGAAGGCAGGUCUCUGGGCAGUUACUGACGCUGAGGAGCGAAAGCGUGGGGAGCGAACAGG